GUGUCAGCAGCCGCGGUAAGACGUAGGGCGCGAGCGUUGUCCGGAUUUAUUGGGCGUAAAGAGCUCGUAGGCGGCUCGUUGCGUCGGCUGUGAAAACCCGCAGCUCAACUGUGGGCUUGCAGCUGAUACGGGCGGGCUGGGAUUCGGUAGGGGAGACUGGAAUUCCUGGUGUAGCGGUGAAAUGCGCAGAUAUCAGGAGGAACACCGGUGGCGAAGGCGGGUCUCUGGGCCGAUAUCGACGCUGAGGAGCGAAAGCGUGGGGAGCGAACAGGAUUAGAUACCCUUGUAGUCC
Molecule: ribosomal RNA, 292 nt
Filed under: uncultured bacterium
Lineage: Bacteria
Description: partial 16S ribosomal RNA
Rfam family: Bacterial small subunit ribosomal RNA
Source: RNAcentral